GUGGGGAAUCUUGCGCAAUGGGCGAAAGCCUGACGCAGCCAUGCCGCGUGAAUGAUGAAGGUCUUAGGAUUGUAAAAUUCUUUCACCGGGGACGAUAAUGACGGUACCCGGAGAAGAAGCUCCGGCUAACUUCGUGCCAGCAGCCGCGGUAAUACGAAGGGGGCUAGCGUUGCUCGGAAUUACUGGGCGUAAAGGGCGCGUAGGCGGACAGCUUAGUCAGAGGUGAAAGCCCAGGGCUCAACCGUGGAAUUGCCUUUGAUACUGGAUGUCUUGAGUUUGGGAGAGGUGAGUGGAACUCCGAGUGUAGAGGUGAAAUUCGUAGAUAUUCGGAAGAACACCAGUGGCGAAGGCGACUCACUGGCCCAAUACUGACGCUGAGGCGCGAAAGCGUGGGGAGCAAACAGGAUUAGAAACCCGAGUAGUCCCAU
Molecule: ribosomal RNA, 428 nt
Filed under: uncultured bacterium
Lineage: Bacteria
Description: partial 16S ribosomal RNA
Rfam family: Bacterial small subunit ribosomal RNA
Source: RNAcentral